RNAcentral lists this small nuclear RNA (149 nucleotides) under Canis lupus familiaris (dog). RNAcentral describes it as "U4 spliceosomal RNA". It matches the Rfam family "U4 spliceosomal RNA". Rfam says of the family: U4 small nuclear RNA (U4 snRNA) is a component of the major U2-dependent spliceosome. The structure of U4 snRNA from yeast and human has been reported. The record is from Rfam by way of RNAcentral. Lineage: Eukaryota; Metazoa; Chordata; Mammalia; Carnivora; Canidae.
AGCUUGGUGCAGUGGCAGUAUCUAUCGUAGCCAAUGAGGUUUAUCCGAGGUGCAAUUAUUGCUAAUUAAAUAAUAGUGAAGAGUAAUGUAUUAUAUUACUGUUGCUGCUGUAACAAAUUGCCACAAACUUUAAAACAACAAAAAUUUAU